Molecule: small RNA, 376 nt
Filed under: Histoplasma capsulatum
Lineage: Eukaryota; Fungi; Ascomycota; Eurotiomycetes; Onygenales; Ajellomycetaceae
Also listed under: 1 other name
Description: hypothetical RNA
Source: RNAcentral
ACUAACUAGGACUCUGUACUCCGUACUUUAUCUUAGCAUACUCGGGCUACCCUUAAGGUUAGUUGCCCGAUUCUUACCCUCAGUGAGUGAUAACUGUGAGCUUAUGAUGGUCCUCUGGAUGGGCCUGCCAUUGAUAGAACCACUUGAUUGCUUCCACUACUGAUACGAAGGACUUGCCCUUCGCGGCAUUGAGUUUGUCUGCUUGCAGCAAGCUGGGCGAAGACAUCAGAGGUGUUCCACUCUUUGCAUUGCAGACCAUUGCAGACCAUUGCCUGGCAGCAGACAUGGACCGAGUGGCCAUUGGCAGAGUCCUGAAGGGUAUAGGCAUCACGCUUGACGGCUGUCCAUGUGUACCAUGUACUGCUUAUAUGUCCAC